This 73-nucleotide transfer RNA is filed under the name uncultured Eubacterium sp. It matches the Rfam family "tRNA". From Rfam's summary of the family: Transfer RNA (tRNA) molecules are approximately 80 nucleotides in length. Lineage: Bacteria; Bacillati; Bacillota; Clostridia; Eubacteriales; Eubacteriaceae. The record is from RNAcentral.
GAUGUGUAACUCAGUUGGUUCAGAGUAGCGGUCUCUUAAACCGAAGGUCGUGGGUUCGAGUCCCACUACAUCC